This 253-nucleotide ribosomal RNA is filed under the name uncultured bacterium. RNAcentral describes it as "partial 16S ribosomal RNA". It matches the Rfam family "Bacterial small subunit ribosomal RNA", at positions 524 to 776 of the family's 1533-position model. The record is from RNAcentral.
UACAGAGGGUGCGAGCGUUAAUCGGAAUUACUGGGCGUAAAGCGCGCGUAGGCGGCUUUGCAAGUCGGGUGUGAAAUCCCCAGGCUUAACCUGGGAACUGCAUUCGAGACUGCAUUGCUAGAGUAUGGGAGAGGGAAGUGGAAUUUCCGGUGUAGCGGUGAAAUGCGUAGAUAUCGGAAGGAACAUCAGUGGCGAAAGCGGCUUCCUGGACCAGUACCGACGUUCAGGCACGAAAGCGUGGGGAGCAAACAGG